AUAAAGACGUUGAAGGAGACAAGUAACGUUACCAAGUCAUUGUUAGGGAGAGGUUACCUUAGACUGCAAGUAACCUUAGUGAUACGUAAUGCGAACAUUUCAGCUCUGGAGUCGCUGUCGGGAUUUUGUAUAAUGAAAGACAGAUCGGUGUGAAGCCGUUAUUGGAAUGAAGUGGAUAGCUUAUUUAGCUGUCUAUUAGGGUGGUACCGCGUGAUUAUAACCUCGUCCCUUUG
Molecule: non-coding RNA, 233 nt
Filed under: unidentified
Description: Listeriaceae bacterium T-box sequence
Rfam family: T-box leader
About the family: Uncharged tRNA acts as the effector for transcription antitermination of genes in the T-box leader family. T-boxes are found upstream of many aminoacyl-tRNA synthetase genes and some amino acid biosynthetic genes usually in Gram-positive bacteria.
Source: RNAcentral